Molecule: long non-coding RNA, 2095 nt
Organism: Lycium ferocissimum
Lineage: Eukaryota; Viridiplantae; Streptophyta; Magnoliopsida; Solanales; Solanaceae
Exons: 4
Source: RefSeq, a predicted model, not a curated record
UUUAAAAGCCAAUAUUUUGAGAUAAGAACCAAGAAGGCAAGAACUAUGCCUGGCUGCUUUUUGGUGAAAAGCAAGCACUGUUACGCCUUCCAUUACAGCAAAACAUUAGUGGGUUGAGAGAUUUUUUUUUAUAUAUUUCAAGGUGCAAGUCACACACUAUAGAGCCAGCAAGAAGGGCCAAAUUCCACCUCCUAUAUUGGGAAAUGUAGAUUGCCAAAUCCGAUAGGGCAAAGCGUGAGUUCUUCUGAGAACUUUCUCCGUCAAAGCUCAUCUUGAGAAAUCCAAAUUGACGUGGUUUGGGGUUGUUACCGACUCGUUCUUUGACAUUUGGAGCUAAUAGUUGGUAAUGUAAAGACUACUUUGAGGUUGACUUCUUGGCUCUCCUUAUGGCUUGGUGUUUUGGUUGCAGAAUUUUCUGUCUGCAUUAAAUCAUCCAUUUUCUCAUGUUAGCAAUGUACAGUGGUCAAAUUGGAUCAUUUUCAUCUUGGGACCUUUUACCUUUUUUCAUCAUGUGGGAGUUAGAAUUAAUUCCUGUUUAUCUACUUCUAGCCAUGUGGGGAGGAAAGAAACGCUUGUACUCAGCUACAAAAUUUAUUUUGUACACGACGGGGGUAUUUUAGAACUUCUUCUAGCGACUUAUGCAUUUUGUUAUCAUUUCCAAUCGGAUGAUCCAUUAAUCCAACUAGUGGAGGAUUAUAAAUGGAUCGAUUUUUUUGAUUUCCAUUGGAGAUUAGGAAUAGAUGGACUUUCUAUAGGACCCAUGUGACACAGGUGAUUUCUCAGGACUCAUUCCAUUAUUUGAAUUGACUUCUUCUUCAUCCUCCUUGACUUGUUGUUUGUUGAUACUGUAACUUCCUUCCACUUCAAUUUCAUUACUGGUAUUGUUUCUGUCUUGUGACUUUCUGCUGGUUGAACUGGUGCCACUGUUCCUGAUGUUCCUUUGUGAUGAUCCUUCUUUGUGAUUGUUACUAGUUAUUGCUUUGCCUUUCUCUGCACCUAUUUCUGUGAUGUUCAUUUCUGGAUCCUCAUUCAUAAUAUCCUUCCCUCCAGCAAUUGAUUCCUCUUGUUCAUCAUGAUUUACCUUCUCAGGAUUGUCCUUUUCUACAUCAACGCCUAGAACAUCAAAGCUAGGCCUGGUUCUGUUUGCAGUUUCCAAAUCAACAGUCAAUGGCCUACCCACAGCUGAUGCCAUUGAAAAAAUUGCCUCCAUUGCAAAAAAAUUUGGAGGUAGUUCUAGAAAGCUUAUCCAUGCUAAAGCUACUGAUGUUUCCCAUCGGGCUUAAACCAAGGGUUCCAAACUAAUGGUCUCAUUUGACAAUAUCUUGAAUAAACUUUGAUGUAAUAAGCCGGAGUGGACAACAUUUUAAUGUAAUCUUCCAAUAGAGAUAAUCUAAUCAGUAUGUGCCUGUCUUCAAUUAAUCCAAUUCUACAUGUCCCUUUGAUGGCACACUAAUCUGGGAUGGCAGCCCUUAAUUCCUUUAGAUCAAUUAUGUCAUAUGAAAACUUACCUAAAAUUGCAUAUUGUAAUUCCUCCUUAAUGGUUAACUGCUUGACCUCAGAGGAUUUCCAUGAGACAUGUGGUUCUCCGUCUAAGAACACCACUGGCUUUAGAGGAACCUGUGGCAUGCACAAAUUCAAGCCCAGAUUAGGCUUCAGAAGGUUAGCAAAAGUCAUAGUAGGUUUGGAGUUAGUAAGGUUUUCAAAUGUGGGUGCUUAUUUAGUAUGCGUAUCAUGCAAAAUUAUAGGAUCAACAGUGUUUACAGAAGUGGUUGGUUGUACUGUGUGUGGUAAUGAAGGUGGAACAGCCUCCGGUGGAGUCUGUCCACCAGUAGGAUUGGCCAUGGAGGCCGGUGAAAUGGUGUUUCUGGUGGCUACGGUUUUUAGGCUAGAGAGUGUUUUCCUUUAUAUAUUUGAAAUCAAAAACAGAAUCCAACAAGAGUUAGGCCCAAAACGGGUCCAACCCAAAACAAGAUAUUUUUACUUCACUUUGUUUUCAUGAUUUUUGUAUUUUGCUGUAUUUCAAUGUAUUCAUCUUUUUUUGGUAUAAAUAUAGUGAAUGUUCCAAAUAUAAAGUAUGUUUUUACUCCAUUUUAUU